CCUGAUCGAAGAUGUCAAAAAGCGGUCUAAUACUUCUGUGCCAACGACUUCAGCAAGUUGCGAAAACUCUCGAAAAAGACAAAGAAAAAAGUAAUACUAAAAGACUAACCUGCCACUUCCACGACAUGCGACCAAAGAACAGGGCUUAGACUCCGACCUCCAGCACCUAGUUCUACAGAGGACCAAAACAUCAAAAAGCAAGCCUAGUCACCAAUGGCCUACAUGCAAACACCUGUGGAUAUGUCAACACUGACACUCAACAAAGAUAUGAUGGUGGUGGCAUACAUGCACAUCUGGUGCCAUAUGACCUGCUCACUGACCGGGAGAAGCACGAAAACCGAGACCAUGCGCAAGAGUUCCUGAAGUUUCUUCAGUAUGAGGGCUACCGUGUUUCAAG
Dermacentor albipictus is the source of this 397-nucleotide long non-coding RNA. RefSeq lists it as uncharacterized. The record is from RefSeq and is a predicted model, not a curated record. NCBI's taxonomy places the organism in Eukaryota, Metazoa, Arthropoda, Arachnida, Ixodida, Ixodidae.